Molecule: long non-coding RNA, 934 nt
Organism: Malus domestica (apple)
Lineage: Eukaryota; Viridiplantae; Streptophyta; Magnoliopsida; Rosales; Rosaceae
Source: RefSeq, a predicted model, not a curated record
UACAUGAAUACAGUAAAAAAUCUGUUUGAUGCUAAGAGUAGUGAAUUUCUAAUACUUCUGUGAUGUAUUCAUGCGACAGGGUUCUUUGAGUCGAGAAGAGCUUGUUGUGGAACAGGUAUAUUAAAGACCUCUGUGCUUUGCAACUCUAGGUCCGUAGGAACAUGUACCAAUGCAACUGGUUAUGUGUUUUGGGAUGGAUUCCAUCCCUCUGAAGCCGCCAACGGGUCUUAGCUAGAGAUCUACUUCAACAGGGGUCUACAUGGUAAAAGCUGGCAAUAUUUCUAUCCUUUGGACCAUUUUGUUUUGCUUCCAUGUGGCCACUUCAAUACCUAAAGGGCAUCAAACUUCAAUUUGAUCUGUCUCAAAAGAUGAUUGAAUGGCUUGCGACUUUUACCAUUUUCCAGGAGGAACCGACUCACUAUCUCAAAGAAAAGCGGGGAAUUGACUGCUACAAAAUCAGAAAAAUGGGAGAUCACAUCAAAGAGGCAGCGAUUGAGUUGGUGAAAUUGCAGUUGCACAGUUGGGGGAGAACGGAAAAGGAAAGCAGAGGAAUGUUAUUCCCAUAUUUUCUUGCUCCUACUUUGUUUGAUUCUCUUGUGGUAUGUGUUCUCUUUUAUUAUGGGUUUUGGAGUGAAGGCAUCAAAGAGAGAGACUUGGCUGUUGCAUAAAUGGAUUUAUUGAUGGCAAUGAAAGAGUUAUUGAAACAAAGGAGAAACGGCAGCAAGGAGAUCAAAAGCAGAACUUAAUGUUAACAGAUGCAGAAUUCAUUUGGGUGCCUUAAUGUACCAAAGAGUGGCCAGCACAUAAUUGAAGACUUCUACCGUUUCCUCUCUUUUACUGUCAGCAAUCAAUUGGGGUUAAUCUUUCGUUGGUUACGGAAACGUAAAAGGGGAAAAGGAAAGGAAUAAGGGAGCGAAGAAGCAAAAAAAAAAAA